CGAUCUAUAAGGUGGGUAUAAGGUUGCGGCCUAUAAAAUGGCGCUUAAUGAGUGUACACUCACACCCACCGCUUGCUUGAUCGGUGGAGGGUCGUUAGCCGAACGGGUAGGAUAGGGCAACCUCAUCCUCUCAUUAAAAGUAUAAUAUGAAAUACAAAGUAACUACACAUUUUUAAAAUUUCUCAAUCUUAGUUACUUUAGGAAAAGUGAAUUGAUGCAAUCCCAUGAAAUUACACUUUGCACCCUUGCUGAGAAGUUAGUGGAGCGUGUGUGGUUUACCGGCACACUAAUUGGUUCUAAGCAAAGGUGGCAAAAGGUGAUUCAUUGUUUAUCAUAGUUCGAUGGAGCGUGUGUGGUUUACCGGCACAUCGAAUAGGUGAUCGUUACAAUGAAGGCACCAUGUGAAUUUGCAUGGUAAUUCACACCCGCUUUGUGAUCAUCGGUAACCCAGUCACAAACAAGAGGGGCAUAUCGAGAUUUAAACAUGCCAUUGAAUAGUUUCAAUGAAUCUCAUCCGAACCUAGGAAUUCUCAAUACAUUUAGGACUAAUAGUUAAGUUUUUGUGAUGGAGAAUUAGUGAAUCGUCAUUCACUUACCUUUAAUUUAUUUGCAUGUUAGAUUACGGCAUCCCUUUUCUAACAUGUAAAUGUUAUUGUUGGAUCCUAGCCCUAAUUUUUCUUAUUGGGUGAUAAUUAAGGAUUCAUAUUCUAAUCUAUCUUUGUCCUUCUUCUUUUUGUAGAUGUCGAACACAAAAAACGCUGCUGCUAGUUCUUUCACGUUGGUGAGCCUUUGCCAAAAGGUCACCUUCGAUGGAACGAACUUUAGCGAAUAGAUAAGAUACAUUUGCACCAUUGCUCGCUAUGAGGAUAAGGAGUAUGUCCUCGAUGAGAAGCUCGAGAAAAUCAACCCUGAAAUCACUACUCCGGCUGAAAUUACCGCGUUUGAAACUCAUGAGCGAGAUGCAACAAAGGUACAUUGCAUCAUGAUAGCCACCAUGAACUCCGAAUUCCAAAAGUCCUACGAGGACAUGUACCCGUAUGAGAUGCAUCAAGACUUAUUGGAGAGAUACCACCAGAACGCAAGACAAGAGCGUUAUGAGAUUUUCACUAACAUGAUUUCCGCUAAAAUGGGUCAUGGAGAAUCUCUUACCGUGCACAUGCAAAAGAUGCAAAGGUAUGUCGACCGCCUUCGCAAGUUAAAUGUUGACUUUGGGGAAGACUUGGCGAUCGACAUGGUGCUUCACUCUUUGCCUCCGAUGUACAAUCAAUUUAGGAUGACCUACCACAUGAACAAAGAGGAGGUCACCCUAAGCAAACUCCAAGGUCUAUUGAGGGUCGCUGAGAGCAACUUCAAAGACAAGUCUGUUGCACCAACUCCCAAUCCACCUGCUGCUCCUGUCUUGGCUAUUGGUCAAGGAAAGGGAAAGAAGAGGAAGGCUUCGUCUAAGAACUAUCGCAAGGUUAAAGCCUGAGAUGGUGCCUCUUCUAGUGGGACCAAAGUUGAUCCCGCUAAGCCCUGCCCUAACCCGAAGGAGGAAGAGUGCCACCACUGCCACAAGAUAGGAUAUUGGAAGAGAAGCUGCCCAGAGUACCUGCAAGCAAUCAAAGAAGGAAAGAUCAAGCCGUCUUUCGCAGGGACUAAGAAGAAGUAGGGAUGUGGAGCAAGGAAGGAUCAAUCUAAUCAUGGGGAACAGAAGGUCGUCGCCUGUGACCAAGAUUGGAGUGUAUUCUUUAGUGCUUAGGAAUAAGUUAUGUUUAGAUUUGAACAAUUGUUGCUAUUCGCCAGAAAUGGCUAGAAACAUCAUUUCAUUUCAUGGUUUAUGUAGACAAGGUUUUAGAUUUUCUUUUAAUAAUGAGAAUGGUUCUAUU
Molecule: non-coding RNA, 1868 nt
Organism: Lactuca sativa (garden lettuce)
Lineage: Eukaryota; Viridiplantae; Streptophyta; Magnoliopsida; Asterales; Asteraceae
Source: RefSeq, a predicted model, not a curated record